Molecule: ribosomal RNA, 255 nt
Filed under: uncultured bacterium
Lineage: Bacteria
Description: partial 16S ribosomal RNA
Rfam family: Bacterial small subunit ribosomal RNA
Source: RNAcentral
GCAAGUCGAGCGGAACGAACAUGAUCUUUGGAUGAUUUAUGGGGCGUCGAGCGGCGGACGGGUGAGUAAUGCCUAGGAACCUGCCUUGUUGUGGGGGACAACCUUGGAAACGCUGGCUAAUACCGCAGAAUGCCUACGGGGGAAAGAAGGGGAUCUUAGGCCCUUUUGCGACAAGAUGUGCCUGCGUGGGAUUAGCUAGUUGGUGGGUAAUGGCUCACCAAGGCGACGAUCCCUAGCUGGUCUGAGAGGAUGAUC